AUGCCUGUGGGUCAGAGAUGCAUGUUGCAUGUGCCCUGGGAACUUCAGGCAAGUCUUGACUUUGGUCCCUUGUCUGUGUUUUUCCUGCAGGAGCCUGAACUGAGUCCACACACUGAACUCACAGACCUGCAGGAGGAGAUGGAAGAAAGAAAAUCAACAGGUUUUGAGGAUGAGAAGAACACAAGUAAUGGCAGAGGAGGUGCUGUGCAAGAGAGCUGCAUGGCCUUUCCUGGCUCCAUGGCCCUGGUUCCAGCCAGAUUCGAGGCUCUCAGGGUGCAGAUGACACCCGGACUCCAUGUUGCCUUAAAGCAGUCCACACUGCCCAGGUCUCCAGAGAAAACCGCAAAGAUCUGUAACUCCGACUAUGUCUUGGGGAAGUGGAGAAAUAAUGAGGCAAGUUUAGUAUGUCUUCUAGGGUCAUACCUGUCAUGAUGACUGGUGGUUAAUGGUUUUCUCUCUGAGAAGGUAAAUACUUUCCACACUUGCAGAUUCUCUCCCUAUUGAGCUCCAUGAAAGCAUUCAGUGCGUGCUUGUGUGAGAUGUGUUGUGCUGAUUCCCUUGCGGGGGAUGGAAGGGGAGGGUGGGAAUCCUUCCUGAAAAGAGUGUGAAGGUGGCAUUUCCCAGCUCAGCCUGGGUGUCUGUAGGCGAGAACAUCAAUGGCAGAAAGCACUAGGCUCUUCCUGGUGAAAGGAGAGGUACAAACAGGAGCAGUGACAGUGCCUGGCUUUUGCUUCCUGAAGCAUCAGGUCACAGGCCUCUAGAGACCCUCCCUCAGGAAGUGUCCCAGGUGCCAAGUGUCCUAGGUGAGUGUCACAGUUGUUUGUGUGGGCUCCCUCCCUGUGUUCAUUUCAUAGAUUCUGGGUAGAGUGUAGCACAUUCCAAAGAAUAAGCAGAGGGUUGGACUAGGAGAGACGGACUCGUGUGGUUGGACAGUGAAUCUCAAACGUUUCAAGAUCCCACUCAGAAAGUGACCUUUCAGGGAACGGAAUGCAUGGGUGGGCUUUAGCGUCAUGU
RNAcentral lists this long non-coding RNA (1014 nucleotides) under Sus scrofa (pig). RNAcentral describes it as "lncRNA (ENSSSCG00065044956.1)". The record is from RNAcentral. Lineage: Eukaryota; Metazoa; Chordata; Mammalia; Artiodactyla; Suidae.